CUGACCUGCAUUCGAUACGGUCGAGCUAGAGUGUGGUAGGGGAGACUGGAAUUCCUGGUGUAGCGGUGGAAUGCGCAGAUAUCAGGAGGAACACCGAUGGCGAAGGCAGGUCUCUGGGCCAUUACUGACACUGAGGAGCGAAAGCGUGGGGAGCGAACAGGAUUAGAUACCCUGGUAGUCCACGCCGUAAACGGUGGGCGCUAGUUGUGCGAACCUUCCACGGUUUGUGCGACGCAGCUAACGCAUUAAGCGCCCCGCCUGGGGAGUACGAUCGCAAGAUUAAAACUCAAAGGAAUUGACGGGGCCCCGCACAAGCAGCGGAGCAUGCGGCUUAAUUCGACGCAACGCGAAGAACCUUACCAAGGCUUGACAUAUACAGGAAUACGGCAGAGAUGUCGUAGCCGCAAGGUCUGUAUACAGGUGGUGCAUGGUUGUCGUCAGCUCGUGUCGUGAGAUGUUGGGUUAAGUCCCGCAACGAGCGCAACCCUCGUUCUGUGUUGCCAGCAUUUAGUUGGGGACUCACAGGAGACUGCCGGGGUUAACUCGGAGGAAGGUGGGGAUGACGUCAAAUCAUCAUGCCCCUUAUGUCUUGGGCUGCACGCAUGCUACAAUGGCUGGUACAAACGGCUGCAAUACCGCAAGGUGGAGCGAAUCCGAGAAAGCCAGUCUCAGUUCGGAUUGGGGUCUGCAACUCGACCCCAUGAAGUCGGAGUUGCUAGUAAUCGUAGAUCAGCAACGCUACGGUGAAUACGGUCCCGGGGCUUGUACACACCGCCCGUCACGUCACGAAAGUCGGUAACACCCAAAGUCAGUGGCCCAACCGUAAGGA
RNAcentral lists this ribosomal RNA (829 nucleotides) under uncultured Actinomycetes bacterium. Its description in RNAcentral is "bacterial SSU rRNA". It matches the Rfam family "Bacterial small subunit ribosomal RNA", at positions 616 to 1447 of the family's 1533-position model. The record is from RNAcentral. Lineage: Bacteria; Bacillati; Actinomycetota; Actinomycetes.